AAAUAAUCAGUGGUGCUCGGAAUAAACACGUGGAUUUAAUCAGAACAUGCUGGAAACUCCAGGCCAAUGAAGACACAAGCAAUAUGCGCUUCCAGUCGUGAGGGACGUGUUUAAGACGUCACAUGUGAUGGCAGCCCUGACCCCAGGAUGACCCCUGACCCCACGUGACCUGAGCAGAUAUGUCCCCUUCAAUCUAGUGAAGAAUCAAACCCUCCAUCCGCAUUUAUCGAAGUGAACACAUCAAACCCCUGCCAGAUCAAAGAAGCCCAGUUAACUCCUAUCAAAGGGUCCACC
This 294-nucleotide long non-coding RNA is filed under the name Sinocyclocheilus anshuiensis. RNAcentral describes it as "lncRNA (ENSSANG00000022813.1)". The record is from RNAcentral. Lineage: Eukaryota; Metazoa; Chordata; Actinopteri; Cypriniformes; Cyprinidae.